GAGUUUGAUUCUGGCUCAGGACAAACGCUGGCGGCAUGCCUAACACAUGCAAGUCGAACGGACAAGUUAGUGGAAGUUCUUCGGAAUGGAAGCUAAUGCGUUAGUGGCGGAUGGGUGAGUAACGCGUGGAUAACCUGCCUCUAAAUGGGGAAUAACUACGAGAAAUCGUAGCUAAUACCGCAUAAUAUCUCUUUAUUGCAUGAUAGAGAGAGGAAAGACGGCCUUAGUGCUGUCGUUUAGAGAUGGAUCCGCGUCUGAUUAGCUAGUUGGUGAGGUAAGGGCUCACCAAGGCGACGAUCAGUAGCCGGCCUGAGAGGGUGAACGGCCACAUUGGGACUGAGACACGGCCCAAACUCCUACGGGAGGCAGCAGUGGGGAAUCUUCCGCAAUGGGCGCAAGCCUGACGGAGCAAUGCCGCGUGAGUGAAGAAGGCCUUCGGGUUGUAAAACUCUGUCCUUAUCGAAGAGAGAGAAGAGUAGUAACUGACUUUCUAGGACGGNGAUNGGAGAGCC
RNAcentral lists this ribosomal RNA (512 nucleotides) under Peptococcus sp. canine oral taxon 044. RNAcentral describes it as "bacterial SSU rRNA". It matches the Rfam family "Bacterial small subunit ribosomal RNA", at positions 9 to 489 of the family's 1533-position model. The record is from RNAcentral. Lineage: Bacteria; Bacillati; Bacillota; Clostridia; Eubacteriales; Peptococcaceae.